CGCACCUUGCGCCCCUUGGUAUUCCGAGGGGCAUGCCUGUUUGAGUGUCAUUAAAUUCUCAACCUUACUAGCUUUUACUAGCUAUGUAAUGGCUUGGAAGUGGGGGUCUUUUGCUGGUUUCGCAAGAAGUCAGCUCCCCUAAAAUGCAUUAGCCGGUGCCCCGCGUGGACCGUCUAUUGGUGUGAUAAUUAUCUACGCCGUUAGACGUCUGCUAUUAAAAGGGAUGUGCUGCUUCUAAUCGUCCGUCUUGGACAAUUAAUGACUAUUUGACCUCAAAUCAGGUAGGACUACCCGCUGAACUUAA
Molecule: unclassified non-coding RNA, 304 nt
Filed under: Gymnopilus iriomotensis
Lineage: Eukaryota; Fungi; Basidiomycota; Agaricomycetes; Agaricales; Galerinaceae
Description: partial contains 5.8S ribosomal RNA, internal transcribed spacer 2, and large subunit ribosomal RNA
Source: RNAcentral